ACUCCUACGGGAGGCAGCAGUGGGGAAUUUUGGACAAUGGGCGCAAGCCUGAUCCAGCCAUGCCGCGUGCAGGAUGAAGGCCUUCGGGUUGUAAACUGCUUUUGUACGGAACGAAAAGGUUCUUUCUAAUAAAGAGAGCUCAUGACGGUACCUGAAGAAUAAGCACCGGCUAACUACGUGCCAGCAGCCGCGGUAAU
Molecule: ribosomal RNA, 197 nt
Filed under: uncultured beta proteobacterium
Lineage: Bacteria; Pseudomonadati; Pseudomonadota; Betaproteobacteria
Description: partial 16S ribosomal RNA
Rfam family: Bacterial small subunit ribosomal RNA
Source: RNAcentral